GAUGAACGCUGGCGGCGUGCCUAAUACAUGCAAGUCGAACGGGUGUAGCAAUACAUCAGUGGCGCACGGGUGAGUAACACGUGGGAACGUGCCCUUCACUACGGGACAACGUCGGGAAACUGACGCUAAUACCGUAUGAUGUCUCCGGACCAAAGAUUUAUCGGUGAAGGAUCGGCCCGCGUCUGAUUAGCUAGUUGGUGAGGUAAUGGCUCACCAAGGCGACGAUCAGUAGCUGGUUUGAGAGAAUGAUCAGCCACACUGGGACUGAGACACGGCCCAGACUCCUACGGGAGGCAGCAGUGAGGAAUCUUGGACAAUGGGCGCAAGCCUGAUCCAGCCAUGCCGCGUGAGUGAUGAAGGCCUUAGGGUUGUAAAGCUCUUUUGCCGGGGAUGAUAAUGACCGUACCCGGAGAAUAAGCCACGGCUAAAUUCGUGCCAGCAGCCGCUGUAA
Molecule: ribosomal RNA, 451 nt
Filed under: uncultured bacterium
Lineage: Bacteria
Description: partial 16S ribosomal RNA
Rfam family: Bacterial small subunit ribosomal RNA
Source: RNAcentral